Hippocampus comes (tiger tail seahorse) is the source of this 678-nucleotide long non-coding RNA. RefSeq lists it as uncharacterized. The transcript is spliced from 4 exons. The record is from RefSeq and is a predicted model, not a curated record. NCBI's taxonomy places the organism in Eukaryota, Metazoa, Chordata, Actinopteri, Syngnathiformes, Syngnathidae.
AAGUCACCUUCUCCUCCCACAAUCCUUCGCGGCGACAAAGUGACUUCUCGCUGCUGUUUGCUGUCUGCUGCUAGCCUGUUGUGAAGCCAUGGCUCCCCCGGUUGCGGUGUCUCCAUUGAUUAAGACUGCCAGGUAUUCAGCUUUGAUCGCUGGCAUCAUAUAUGGCAAGAGGCGAUAUGAUCACUUGAAGCCGAUUGCAGCUGAGGAGAGGAGGAUUGAAGAGGAAGAGAAGAAGGCUCGUGAGGAACAGGAGCGCAUUGCCAAGCAGCUUGCAGAGGCAAAUGAAGACACCAUUCUGAAAUGAAACUUUACUUACGUGCGCACUUCCAAACUUCUCCCUCGUUGUUUUGGAACGGGCAACGUCGGUGCUCAACCAUUCGAACGCUCCCAUGUUGUAGAUAUCGACACUGUUGUUUAGGGAUAAUUUAUUUCUCCGGAUUGCCCGCCUCUACUCCUGUUGAUAAAUUAAUCAUGUAAAUAAUUGGCCCUUAAACGCUUGUUUGUGAAAAUGUCUGCAUGGCUAAACCCCAUCCACCCGCACUAUUUUUUUCCCCAGCCAUUGGUACAUUAUUGAAUUUAAGAAUGCACUUUUUAACAACAACAGUUCUCACUUUGUAUGUCCCAGACUUGCUCACAGACUGUGAAGUUGCUUGAAUAAAUGUAGAGUGGUACCACUAA